UGGGGAAUAUUGGACAAUGGGCGAAAGCCUGAUCCAGCCAUGCCGCGUGUGUGAAGAAGGUCUUCGGAUUGUAAAGCACUUUAAGUUGGGAGGAAGGGUUGUAGAUUAAUACUCUGCAAUUUUGACGUUACCGACAGAAUAAGCACCGGCUAACUCUGUGCCAGCAGCCGCGGUAAUACAGAGGGUGCAAGCGUUAAUCGGAAUUACUGGGCGUAAAGCGCGCGUAGGUGGUUAGUUAAGUUGGAUGUGAAAUCCCCGGGCUCAACCUGGGAACUGCAUUCAAAACUGACUGACUGGAGUAUGGUAGAGGGUGGUGGAAUUUCCUGUGUAGCGGUGAAAUGCGUAGAUAUAGGAAGGAACACCAGUGGCGAAGGCGACCACCUGGACUGAUACUGACACUGAGGUGCGAAAGCGUGGGGAGCAAACA
Molecule: ribosomal RNA, 427 nt
Filed under: uncultured bacterium
Lineage: Bacteria
Description: partial 16S ribosomal RNA
Rfam family: Bacterial small subunit ribosomal RNA
Source: RNAcentral